AUUGAACGCUGGCGGCAUGCUUUACACAUGCAAGUCGAACGGUAACAGGCCGCAAGAUGCUGACGAGUGGCGAACGGGUGAGUAAUGCAUCGGAACGUGCCCAGUCGUGGGGGAUAACGCAGCGAAAGCUGUGCUAAUACCGCAUACGAUCUAUGGAUGAAAGCGGGGGACCGUAAGGCCUCGCGCGAUUGGAGCGGCCGAUGUCAGAUUAGGUAGUUGGUGGGGUAAAGGCUCACCAAGCCGACGAUCUGUAGCUGGUCUGAGAGGACGACCAGCCACACUGGGACUGAGACACGGCCCAGACUCCUACGGGAGGCAGCAGUGGGGAAUUUUGGACAAUGAGCGCAAGCCUGAUCCAGCAAUGCCGCGUGCAGGAAGAAGGCCUUCGGGUUGUAAACUGCUUUUGUACGGAACGAAAAGGCUCUGGUUAAUACCUGGGGCUCAUGACGGUACCGUAAGAAUAAGCACCGGCUAACUACGUGCCAGCCGCCGCGGUAA
Molecule: ribosomal RNA, 498 nt
Filed under: uncultured bacterium
Lineage: Bacteria
Description: partial 16S ribosomal RNA
Rfam family: Bacterial small subunit ribosomal RNA
Source: RNAcentral